This 55-nucleotide transfer RNA is filed under the name Psoroptes ovis (sheep scab mite). Its description in RNAcentral is "tRNA-His". The record is from RNAcentral. Lineage: Eukaryota; Metazoa; Arthropoda; Arachnida; Sarcoptiformes; Psoroptidae.
GAUUAAUUAGUUUAUCAAAAAAUAUUAGUUUGUGGAACUAAAGAAAGAUUAGUCU